CUGUAUGAGUUCUUGAUUAUUCGGGGUUUGGAUGAAUUUCUUUGCUGAUUUUUUUUUUAUUUUUUGGUAGAUUAAAAACCCUAAUUGUUUAAUUGUAACCUAUAUCUAUUGUUGGAUCUAUGGGUUCUAUUGGUACUCGGGUAAACAAAAUACUGUUAAUGGAUUUCUACCUCGUCCUUCAACUGGUCAUUCUCUUGUGUCAGCAUCUUCUCCUGCAGAAACAGUGAUCACUAGAUUCAGAUUCAUAAAACAAGCCAAAAUGAAAACUAUAACAUGGUCAGCAGAAGCAUGUUUACUUUAGGGAAAAAAUAGGCCAGCUAACCCAGUUUUGGUAUGAAGAGCAAAUGAUAAAAAGAUUGGACAACAAAGUGAUUGCAUCUACACAUAUAGAGUUAGAAAGUAGAAACACAUCUGAGCUAAAACUAUUCUGUACUUUUGACUGUAUCAACUUCGUUCAGUGUACUUGCGUCGAAUUCAGCUGCGGUGUAAGUUCUAGAUUUGUAGAGUUUUGUUGUUUCACACACCACAAAGUACCAAUAGAGAAAUUUGAAACGACCCGAAAGGUCAUGCUGUUACAUAAUUUCUACUGCAUUACUGUCAGUGUUACUGCAGGUACUGUAAGCUAUAAGGGUCUACAACCUCCUAGCAUAAUACAGAUAUAUUUGGCAGGAAAAUUGAAGACAGGUCUGCGUAACAAAGGAAGAAAACGAUCAAACACGUCAAACUUGUUUACUUUGGUUGCACUGCCUGUAUUAGGUAGAGCAUGAGGCAGCAGGAACAAGAAACUUUGGAGACUCAGCAGUUCGCGCACAGUAAGGUUGCCUGAUAUGCGAUUGACUAUGUUGUACACAUUGUCGUGGCCUGAUAGCUGCUCUAAGAUAAACUUGGCUACGCCUCGAUCUCUGCAAGUAUUCAAUAAUCCGAGGGAGCGGCCUUUCACCUUUGAGAAGAUAGAUGAUGUUCGAGAAAUGUUGGCAAACUUCAUUACCAGUGAUUGUCUUUGAUAUUUUUUUGAACUGAAUCUUAAAUUAUG
Molecule: long non-coding RNA, 1033 nt
Organism: Spinacia oleracea (spinach)
Lineage: Eukaryota; Viridiplantae; Streptophyta; Magnoliopsida; Caryophyllales; Amaranthaceae
Exons: 3
Source: RefSeq, a predicted model, not a curated record